UUUUGCUCCGUUUUUCGGAGAUUGACAGUUCAUCAUCUUUAAUAAAACAUAACCAGUUUCAUUAACAUCCAUCAUCUUUAGCCUUCUUUUAACCGAUUUCAUGUCUUCUGUUUGAAAAGUGGAAAAUCAGGAAAAGACUAACGGCAUUAAAUUGCAGCAAAAGUUAACAUGGUCGACAUGGAGAAAACUGUUCAUUAACCGCUUUUGUAUUGUCGGGGUAGAUAAUGCCUGCAGGAAGUGCAAGUUCAGCACAAGUUCGAAACCACGCUCCAACACGCUGUGAUGGAAGAGUAUCCUCGUUAGAAAGCAUCCGUGGUCUUCGUGCGCCGACACAUAUGUGAUUUAGCGGGAAAAGUUCACGGAUCGUGCGACACGAAACAUCGAAAUCGGCAUCACCUUUCUCCGCUAAACUCUCUAUCGGUCGUAGACGAUUGGAAAGAAAUCCGACUAAAUAAUCGCAAGUCUGUCUAGCACAUGCUAAAAGGAAGUUUAUGAUUCUUUUUUUUUCUUCCAUUCAGUGUAUAUUGCACAUCCGACUCCCUUCUUGCAGCACAGGUUGCGCCGAAUAGCGGUAUGCAGGACAGUAGGUCGCCAUCUCAGUAGCGGUAGACCGGCAAGUCCCCUUCUUCUCUUUUCUUUUUUUUUUACUUCUUCCUCCUUCCUGCUCUCUCUCUCUCUCUCUCUCUCUCUCUCUCUCUCUUUAACCAGGCGGAUCAUAUCUUUCCCAAAUGGCUGCUCACAUGAUUGUCUUUUUCUCCUUCCUCAUGAUAUUGUCGGAAAGUUGUUAAAAGUAGUUCACUAAUGGAUGGAUCAACAUGUUAUCAAAAUGUUCUUCAUACAUGCGCAAAUAAUAAUUUUCAUAACGUUAACAAGAACAGAAAUGUUCGUAAAACAUUUCAAAUAUAAAAAGAUACAGAGAGGACUUUUGCGUCAUCUUGAUGCAGCUGCUUUGUGCUGAUUCAUAUUCAAAGUGAUUUGUUUCCUGCAGCCGCUUUUUCCUUCUCUUCCGCUUUCUUUGACUGCAUCAGUCGAGAAGGUAUUCUCUUCCGGUAUUUGCAACUUCACAGAUAUCAUUGUAGAGCAGAUGACUUCUGUUCAUUCUCCGCUUAACAUAUCCUCACUGCAUCUCUCUACGUGCUCUUUCACUCUUCCCAUCGCUUUCUCCCUCGCUCACGCACUCAUUCAGAGACUUCGUCUGUGGUCUUUCGCUUUAUGGUCUCUCUCAGGAUUUUAUGAUCUCUCUUACCGCUUUCUGUCUCUCUUUUUCUCUUUCUCCAACCGCUUCUUCUCUCAUCUUACAUUCUGUCUCACUCCCCGUUCCCCGAUUAUCUCACGUGCUUGAUGAUCUCGAAAGAGUCGUUCGGUCCUCACGAGAACCUCCACUCUUCUUCCACCACCUAUCUCCGAACCGGGACCUUACGUAUCCCCGAAGACGAACGGCGAUUUACUCGCAUUCGCGGUCGACAUGUCGCAUCAUCCGAAAUUCACUAGCAAAAAUCGCCGUAAGGCGAGUACCGGUCUUAAGUAAGUGCGAACAUGUUCAAUCUCGUAUAACGAGUCUGCGAUAUUGUGACGUGUGCUCGUUGUGAAAAUCCUGGAUCCGUGCAAUCCGAAAUCUCUCUAAAGCUGACAUGGACUUUUGUAAAAAUUGACCUCGAAAGAAAAUCAAUCUGAAGUGUGGAUAUUUCGGACAUCGAAAAUUAGAAGAUAUUUCCCAGUUAUACCGUCACAAUACUUUCAUCCAGCUUGACUCUCGCAGAAGUGGGCCGGUCAGCCCCGAGGCUGUAGGCCAGUUCAUAUUAAGUACUCGAGGACCGGGCGGAAGGAAAUUCGUAAGAAAGAGACGAAGGAGCGAGGGGGUGAGCGAGAGAGAGAGAGAGAGAGAGAGAGAAAGAGAAAUGAAUUUUGCUAGAGGGAAGAAAAGAAAGCCGAAAGAUUAACCAGUCUCGGGCAUCUUAUGAUAAAAAA
Acromyrmex echinatior (Panamanian leafcutter ant) is the source of this 1968-nucleotide long non-coding RNA. NCBI's taxonomy places the organism in Eukaryota, Metazoa, Arthropoda, Insecta, Hymenoptera, Formicidae. The record is from RefSeq and is a predicted model, not a curated record.